RNAcentral lists this long non-coding RNA (601 nucleotides) under Olea europaea (common olive). RNAcentral describes it as "long non-coding RNA (OEUR_LNC010379)". The record is from RNAcentral. Lineage: Eukaryota; Viridiplantae; Streptophyta; Magnoliopsida; Lamiales; Oleaceae.
CCCCCCCCCCGGGGGGCAUAAAAAAUAAUGGAACUGUUCUCAUUAUGACACCCAUCACAGUAACAUACAUAUUAGGCUGAAAUGUCCAUUAAAAGGUAACUAACUACUUGAACUUGUUCCAGACUGCAAGUAUGAAGAUAACUUCCAGCAUAAAGGAGUUUUGUGAUUGGAACCAAUAAAAGGGGAUCAUAACCUCUUUCUUGAACAAUCACCAACUGGUACCUUGAUGAAAUAGUGAAGCUCAACACUGGGUUAUCCAAAGUAGCUCAAUCAAGAAGAGAAAUUUCCAAAUCCAGGAAAAUUAUAUACUUGGUCUUGAUAAACAUGAUUUCUUGGAUGAAAGCCUUAUGAUGCAACAAUUGAGUAAAAUCACCAGCUAGAGGCUACAAAAGAGAUGUUGCAUUGCAGUAGUCAUGGAGAUGUACAAGAUCUGGAAAACUUAUUUACGAAGGCCUUGUUUAUACACGCAAAGAGUAUGGCAAGCCAGUUCAUGCAUUCUCUUAAAGAAGUUCAUCUAGUGGCAAUUCAUAGAACUCUGCAGUAAUUGAAAUCCACUUCAUAGAAACGGUUCUUCAAGAAAAAUAAAGAAUUGAGUUUAGAA